GGCGAACGCUGGCGGCGUGCCUAAUACAUGCAAGUAGAACGCACAGUUUAUACCGUAGCUUGCUACACCAUAAACUGUGAGUUGCGAACGGGUGAGUAACGCGUAGGUAACCUGCCUGGUAGCGGGGGAUAACUAUUGGAAACGAUAGCUAAUACCGCAUAAUAUUGAUUAUUGCAUGAUAAUUGAUUGAAAGAUGCUAUUGCAUCACUACCAGAUGGACCUGCGUUGUAUUAGCUAGUAGGUGAGGUAACGGCUCACCUAGGCGACGAUACAUAGCCGACCUGGGAGGGUGAUCGGCCACACUGGGACUGAGACACGGCCCAGACUCCUACGGGAGGCAGCAGUAGGGAAUCUUCGGCAAUGGACGAAAGUCUGACCGAGCAACGCCGCGUGAGUGAAGAAGGUUUUCGGAUCGUAAAGCUCUGUUGUAAGAGAAGAACGGGUGUGAGAGUGGAAAGUUCACACUGUGACGGUAUCUGACCAGAAAGGGACGGCUAACUACGUG
RNAcentral lists this ribosomal RNA (505 nucleotides) under uncultured bacterium. RNAcentral's name for it is "partial 16S ribosomal RNA". It matches the Rfam family "Bacterial small subunit ribosomal RNA", at positions 28 to 507 of the family's 1533-position model. The record is from RNAcentral.